Molecule: long non-coding RNA, 3035 nt
Organism: Cyprinus carpio carpio
Lineage: Eukaryota; Metazoa; Chordata; Actinopteri; Cypriniformes; Cyprinidae
Source: Ensembl
AUGCAAAAGGAGAACCAGCCUUUGUGUGCCUCCAGGAACAUGGCUGAGAAACCCUGCCUAAAAAGGCAACAUUUGUUGUCUGCUGAAAUCGAAAAACUCAAGGCAAAUCCAAAAUAUCUACAUCUACAUUUUUAUUUUAUUUUAUUUAUUCUUUGUAUAAAGCGUUGUUUCAGACUACUGGGCAAAAACCAUCCAAACAAUUGUAUUUAUAUUUUUUUUUUACGUUUGUUUGUUCGUUCAGUCAGUCAUUCAGUCAUUUAUUUAAUCAGUACAUCCAAUUAAUUACAGUAAUUUAUUUUGAAUAUGUUGAUUUUAAUUACAGUACUGUUCUUUAAAUGCAGUUUACUCUCCAUCACUGAUCCAGAAAUUUCCUGUUUUAUUUAUAUUUAUAUUCUGAAGGUUCUUGCAUAGGAGUUUAUUCAAAUUUAAUUUAAUUUAAUUUAAUUUAAUUUAAUUUAAUUUAAUUUAAUUUAAUUUAAUUUAAUUUAAUUUAAUUUUUGACUUAAAGAGUGAUAUUAAGCAAUAUCCAAAAUCCCCUCUUUUAAAAUAUUUGACAACAACAACAACAACAACAACAACAAUAAUAAUAAUAAUAAUAAUAAUAAUAAUAAUAAUAAUAAUAAUAAUAAUAAUAAUAAUAAUAAAAUUAAUAAAUAAUAAUAAAAUUAAUAAAUAAAUAAUAAUAAUUGAACCUGGCUUUAUCCAAUGUUUUGAUUUCUGUUUUGGAAAUGAAUUCAGAUUAUUGCAUAUUCAUUCAAAAAUGCUGAUUUUGCAUAUUUAAACAUUUUUACAUUUCAGAAAAACAUUGUAAUCAAUUGACUGGGUAAGUAUGGUGAUAUCCAUUGUGUGUGUGUGUGUGUGUGUGUGUGUGUGUGUGUGUGUGUGGGUUUCUUUUUUCUUUUUUACCUGGGGUGUCUUGCCUUAAGUGCAUGACUUCAAGGGGUCAGUCCAUGACAUUUGAAUCCUUCGUUGGUCAUAUAUUUUUUGUGCUAUGUGAAUUCACAGGUCAGAGGUUACCAAACAGACACAAUUUCUUUGCAUGAGCUUGCAUCAGUCGAGUCUCCAACAGUGACAUGCCUAUGAAUGCAAAUGAAUGGAGCUUCAAGUCUAGUGAGUUACACUGGGCUUGACACCUCAUUCACUUCAUUCAGUUUAGGAUGACACAAGCUGCAAACAUUUAGUGGGAUAAAUAAAUGCCUAAUGCAGAUCUAAGGAACUAAAGGCCUAAUGGUGUUUUAUAAUGAAAGCAGAGAAUGAACAGUUCAUGCAAAACAGACCAACCCCAGGGAAAGAUAAAACACAACGCCCCGUCAGCAAACACCCACUGACUGAAACACGGAUGCAUGACUGCACAACACCUCCCUUGAAUCUGAAUGAAACAUGACCACUGGAGGAAUAUAACAGGCAUGAAGCUUGUCCAACGAAAUUUCAAUCGGCCACGUAACAUCUAUCAUAUUCAUAUCACAUAGCACUUCCUGAGACUUCUCAUAUGGAACAUGCUUAGUAUCCAUAAAACCAGCCACAAAGCUUCUUUAGCUUUUCCCUCUUUGACCAGUAAGCAAUCUCAACCAAUCUAAAACAUUAUUUAACCAACUAGAAUGUAAACUAUUGCUUUUAAAACAUUUUCAGAAAUGGAAUUAAAAUGAUUUCCACAAUGUUAAUGUUAAACUAAAAUAACAAAUAUAAAGUUGCUAAAAAUUUAUGCAUUUUACAAAAAAAGAAAAGAAAAAAAGUGUCAGACCAACCUAAAUUUUGUUAUUACAUUGUAAUUACUCUUGUAAUUGCAUUUCACACAGUAUUAAAGUCAAAAUAAAUUUGGAGAAACAAACAAGUACCCAUAUUCUUCUGAAUUUGUCCUUUUCUCAGCACUUUCUACAUUUUUCAUGAGUUGUUUAUUUUCCUAACAGUUUGCCUCAAUUGUUUACUUGGUAUUGCAGAUGUCAGUAUGCUCAAAAAGCAGCAGAGUUUAAAGCUUUUUUGAAAUUCAGGGUCUUUGAUACGGCUCUGCUGUUUCCUAGCAUUCUCUUCUGCCGCUGUGCACACAAACACAUAAUCUUUUAUUAAUCUCUGCUUCUGCUUCUCCAAUCAUCUCGAACCCCCCAGUCAAAACAAAAUAAACAAACCACCCGAAUUCUGUCUGCCGUCACCCCUCCAGCCCUCUGAGGGAAAUCUGAGGGAUUGCCUGGUUGUCAGAACAUGGCUCCACCUCUCAGACUUCUCCAGAAAACUUUAGAGAGAGUUAUGUGAGGUUAGAGAAGGAGUGAACAUCUCUUUAGAUAAAAGCAUUGGGAUUAUGGUUCCAGCCAUUUAUCCACAGCUUUGAUUAAUGCCUUGUUUGUAUUUGAACUCUUUGGGUACAGAACAGAACAAUGUUUUAAGGAGGGAACUUAACAACGAGGAACAGAUUCGGAAUCGAUUCACUAUAUGGCGUCUCAUCUAGAGUACAAUGUAUUCAGAUCAUGUCCCAUUGUUUAAAAUGCAGCCAGCAGCAUUAAAAUUAUCACUAAUGUGUGCUAUAACAGCCAUGCCUAUUACACAAUGAAUGCAAAUGCAUAUGAUUGCUUUUUGACAUCGCAUUUACAUUCAUUUCCACUGACUAUGAUUUGCUGUUGAUCCAUUGUUUGCCAUCUUCAACUCAGAGUGAACCCUCACUAGAACAGAGAUUUAACAACUCCAGGAAAGUUCUUUAAGAUGAUCAUUGGCUGUUGGUAUAAAAGAGCUCUGUCUGGAAGUUUUUAAAGUUUAAAAGGGGUCAUAUGGCGUUGCUAAAAAGAACAUUAUUUUGUGUAUUUGGUGCAAUGCAAUGUGUUUAUGCGGUGGGACCGUACUCCCAGGGGAGCGGAAAUAAAAAUCCCAUGUGUGGGACCGUACUACUUAAAGGGUUAAAAUAGUGGUUGAGUGGCUGCAAGGCAGUUGUUAGGGUGUUCUGGCUGGUUUCUAGGGCAUGGCCAAGAUAUUGGCCAAGAUAUCCUGCUAUUCAAUGUUAGGUGGUAGCAGAGUGCUCUGACUGGCUGUUUUUGGUCAUAACUAGAAUA